RNAcentral lists this long non-coding RNA (1801 nucleotides) under Macaca fascicularis (crab-eating macaque). RNAcentral describes it as "lncRNA (ENSMFAG00000049708.1)". Lineage: Eukaryota; Metazoa; Chordata; Mammalia; Primates; Cercopithecidae. The record is from RNAcentral.
GUUGCCCAGGCUGGAGUACAAUGGUGUGAUCUCGGCUCACUGCAGCCUCCGCCUCCGGGUUCAAGCAGUUCUCCUGCCUCAGCCUCCUGAAUAGCUGGGAUUACAGGCACCCGCCACCAUGCCUAAUUUUUUGUAAUUUUAGUAGAGACGGGGUUUCACCAUGUUGGCCAGGCUGAUCUUGAACUCCUGACCUCAGGUGAUCCACCUGCCUCGGCCUCCCAAAGUGCUGGGAUUACAGGCGUGAACCACCUCAUCAGGCCUAGACCUCAUCUCUUCUUUAGCCCUAACCAUCCCUAUGCUCCAGGUAGGAAACUGAGGCUAGGAAAGGCCAAGCGACUUGCCCCAGUCCCACAGGCUUCCAUGAGGAGCUCAGCCUAGAUUUGGGUCCAGAACUCCAGCACCUGGUGUAGUCCUGGCUGAUAUGAUACUAGUUCCACUUGAAGGGGCAGCUGGCCAGAAUGUCUCUGAUACAGACCUGAUCACUGUUGAGCCAGGAGUGAGAGGCCUGAGGGAGGCUCUGGUGAGAGGGUACAGUGUCUGCUACCAAGCAAAGCCCAGCCUGACAAACCAGUCCCCCUCCUUGCUUCCCUUUGAACCCUGUAACUCUCUUCCUGAGCUUUUCCAGGACAGCCCAGAACCACCACCCUCUUGCUGAGCCCAGAAAGGAAGAUGGACCUGACCAGAACCAAAGAGUGCCUUAGAGCUGGUCUGUGAGGGGCAGACCAGGAGCCUGCCAGGGUGCGGGACAGGGCGAGGAGCUAGCGUGCCUCACCCCUUCACCACCAUACUGUGCCUCUCACACACUUCCCCUCCACCAGGUGCCUGUGUGGAGGCUGCACGGGAUUUGUUUGCCCAGGGCGGGCCUCCACCUCAUCAUGGGCUAAUUGCUGCUCAACUUGGCUGCUGUGCCACCUCAAGCACUAUCUCCAGCUCCAGCAAACAACGAAGGCGUCAGGGUGGCGAGAUAUGUCCAAGCCACACACCACCCAUGCUGUCGCCGAGCUGGACUCCAGGCACCUGUGAAAGAGGCAGGGCAGAGAGCAGGCAGGAGGGCUGGAGUUCCAGCCGGAGUACUGUACUUGUACAGAGGCAGGCAGGCCCUUUCUGAAGAGGUGGUCUACACUCACCCUCCUGACAUUAGGCCCUUCACAGACCCCUUAAAUGUCCUUUUCCCUGCUGUGGGCUUUCUCAUUCACUGCCUCUGGACAAUCCCAUCCAUUUUCUGGUGCCUCUAUGACUAACUUCGAUCUUCCUAACCUCUUUGGGUUACUGGCUAUGUCAGAAUGUCAUGAAGACCAUGACCCAUUUCUUCACAAAAAUGCCCGGAUAGAGAAUUCUGAAUGGCAAAGUGCUCUAAGGGUCAUAGACACCCUUGCUCCUACAUCUCCAUCUUCACCCUAGCCCGUCUCUUGAAUGAUGCCUGCCCAGUCCUGUCCCAUCCACUUCCUUCCCACCCCCACUAUGCACACCUGCUCUCCCAUUUCCUCUUCCAACUCCCAAGUAUCCCUUUUUGUUCUCUCCUGCUCCAUCUCUGGGGCAGGUGCCCGGCCCAGGCAAGAUAAGCAGGAACCAGGCUGGUGGUUAAACGGUGGGGAAGAGGUGGGGUGGCUGCUCCAAGCCUCAAGUAGGACGGGGCUAAAGUCAGGCUGUCCUAGGGUAGAGUUGGGGAAAAACCUUGGAGUUUGGCAUCCCCUGGUGGCCAAAUGGCCCCAAAUGGAAGAUAAACUCUGUGGAGGACAGUAAGGAAAACUCACCAUCCAACACAAGUAUUCUCUCCACCACUUCCCUCCAGCACCCCCCG